AUGGCGCCGGGAUUCACCAGGUUUGAUUUGGAGCAAUUCGAUGGUAUGGGUAACUUCGGUCUGUGGCAAACAAAAGUCAAGGAUAUUCUGGCGCAACAGGGAAUCUUGAAGGGUUUGCAGGAGAAGAAGCUGGCCAUGGUUGAAAACAAUGUGUGGGAGGAUAUGCAAGUGCAGGCGGCCGCUACCAUACGGCUUUGUCUUGCGGAUCAGGUCAUGUAUCAUGUCAUGGACGAAGAUUCUUCUAAGGGAAUUUGGGACAAGUUGACAAAUCGUUAUAUGUCCAAGUCAGCGACCAAUAAGCUGUAUUUGAAGCAAAAGUUCUAUGGGUUGAAGAUGCAGGAGGGGUCGGAUCUUGUGGAGCAUGUGAAUGCCUUUAAUCAGUUGGUCACGGAUCUAGCGCGUCUGGAUGUGAAGAUUGAUGCUGAGGAUAAGGCGCUACUUCUUCUUGUUUCGUUGCCACCGUCCUAUGAGCAUUUGGUCAUUACAUUGACACAUGGAAAGACAACCAUCAAUAAUGAGGAAGUCACUGCAGCGUUGCUUGGGCAUGAGUUGAGGAAGCAAAAGAAUGCUACAGAGGAGAGUACUCAAGGUUUGGGGUUGGCAGUUAAAGGUUAUCAGCUCAGGAAGGGACAAGAGGCGGAGAAGAAAAGGAAAAAAAGGUGCAGUGCUACAGGUGCAAGGAUUGGGGACAUAUAA
Molecule: ribosomal RNA, 696 nt
Filed under: Triticum aestivum (bread wheat)
Lineage: Eukaryota; Viridiplantae; Streptophyta; Magnoliopsida; Poales; Poaceae
Description: partial small subunit ribosomal RNA
Source: RNAcentral